This is a long non-coding RNA of Amphiprion ocellaris (clown anemonefish), 694 nucleotides long. NCBI's taxonomy places the organism in Eukaryota, Metazoa, Chordata, Actinopteri, Pomacentridae. The record is from Ensembl.
GUUGCUUUGUAGAACUGUUGCAGAAAACCUCACUAAACCACAUGGAGGGGCCUCAAGAUAGUCGUCCAAAUGAAACCAUACAAAAACCAAACUAGCACAACCCAAACGCUAAAGUCUCCUGCAGCCUACCAGAGAACCUCUGAGAACAGAGAAUCAGGACAGGAACUCUUACCUUCUGGACAACCAACAAUACAGAAUGUGUCUGACCAAAAACCUCUGAAGACUCACUACAGCCAAGAUAAAGACACAACGCAGCUGCACCAAAUCCACUAAUCACUGCACACAGUAGCACCAUGUGCUAACUGUGGCUAAAGAACCACAUUUACCAAGACAACUAUCCAGUACAAAGCCCUAAAACACACCAAGAAACACAUUAAAGCCUAUUUUACUGCUGGAAGCUGCAAGCUAACGCCUAAAGAACAAACUAAAGCAAUGGAGCCAAACCCAGUUCACUGGUGAAGAGAAGCAGAGGAAAUGUUUGCCUGCAGCUAAAUAAAGCAGGAAGACACUGAGCUGCUCAGGUGUUCCUGAUAACACCAAGCAGCCACCUGGACAGCCAAUAGGAGCACAACUUACUGGAAGUCCAGAGGGCUGGGUUAGUGAAGGAAAUUUAGUUUAAAGUUGAAGCAGAAAGUUAACAGAAAGUUGAAAACCAGCUUCUGAUACCUGAAAUCUCUGUUUUCACACAAAGAAC